Cydia pomonella (codling moth) is the source of this 496-nucleotide long non-coding RNA. RefSeq lists it as uncharacterized. The record is from RefSeq and is a predicted model, not a curated record. Lineage: Eukaryota; Metazoa; Arthropoda; Insecta; Lepidoptera; Tortricidae. The transcript has 3 exons.
AUAAAAUUAAAGAUAUAUAAUUAGGUCUGAAAAGAUAAUACUUUAUUUAUAGUUUAAUGUUAUUUGCUUGUAGAUAUUUAAUUAGGAUAGAAGUUAGAAUAGGAUCCAUGUAACAAAGUAGCGAGCUGAAGCAUAUAGGUCGUGGAACAUUAUCGGGCAAAACAUCGUACACUUCAAGAAUAGCAACUGCUUCACCUGUGAAAAUCGACGCUUGAGGAGGGCACCUAAAUGAGAGGACAAUAUUGUACCGAGGAAUCCACACUGCUGCUCCCACACAUCUUGCAGGAUCUACUUUUGAAGCGUCAGUAUAAACCGUGAGUUCCAGUGCAAGUGACCGCAAACGUGGAAGCAGCAAAUGGUUGUAGUAAGAACUGGCUUUGAUUAAAAAUCUAUCAGCAAGAUAUUGUCUGCGGAGAGACAAAGGAGGCUCAACACCUUCCACCUGCAUGGCGUUCUUGGGAGAAGAACGCAUAGCUCCGAGUAUGAUCUUCAAACA